AUUGAACGCUGGCGGCAGGCCUAACACAUGCAAGUCGAGCGGAUGAAGGGAGCUUGCUCCUGGAUUCAGCGGCGGACGGGUGAGUAAUGCCUAGGAAUCUGCCUGGUAGUGGGGGAUAACGUCCGGAAACGGGCGCUAAUACCGCAUACGUCCUGAGGGAGCAAGUGGGGGAUCUUCGGACCUCACGCUAUCAGAUGAGCCUAGGUCGGAUUAGCUAGUUGGUGGGGUAAAGGCCUACCAAGGCGACGAUCCGUAACUGGUCUGAGAGGAUGAUCAGUCACACUGGAACUGAGACACGGUCCAGACUCCUACGGGAGGCAGCAGUGGGGAAUAUUGGACAAUGGGCGAAAGCCUGAUACAGCCAUGCCGCGUGUGUGAAGAAGGUCUUCGGAUUGUAAAGCACUUUAAGUUGGGAGGAAGGGCAGUAAGUUAAUACCUUGCUGUUUUGACGUUACCAACAGAAUAAGCACCGGCUAACUUCGUG
RNAcentral lists this ribosomal RNA (484 nucleotides) under uncultured bacterium. RNAcentral describes it as "partial 16S ribosomal RNA". It matches the Rfam family "Bacterial small subunit ribosomal RNA", at positions 30 to 507 of the family's 1533-position model. The record is from RNAcentral.